GACGAGCCUGACAAACGUUAUUCGGAAUCACUGGGCUUAAAGGGUGCGUAGGCGGUGCGGAAAGUCGGGUGUGAAAUCCCUCAGCUCAACUGAGGAACUGCACUCGAUACUUCCGUGCUAGAGUAAGACAGAGGUAAGUGGAACUGAGGGUGGAGCGGUGAAAUGCGUUGAUAUCCUCAGGAACACCGGUGGCGAAGGCGACUUACUGGGUCUUUACUGACGCUGAUGCACGAAAGCUAGGGUAGCAAACGGG
This 253-nucleotide ribosomal RNA is filed under the name uncultured bacterium. RNAcentral's name for it is "partial 16S ribosomal RNA". It matches the Rfam family "Bacterial small subunit ribosomal RNA", at positions 524 to 776 of the family's 1533-position model. The record is from RNAcentral.